This 212-nucleotide small nucleolar RNA is filed under the name Neurospora crassa. Its description in RNAcentral is "box C/D snoRNA CD53". Lineage: Eukaryota; Fungi; Ascomycota; Sordariomycetes; Sordariales; Sordariaceae. The record is from RNAcentral.
ACAAUGAUGACAACAGUCUAUCCAUUCAACGAUAUGUACGGGCCGAGCCAUCCAUCCGCACUGGAGCGUCUUUCGGGGCGUGAGGACUAGUUGUGGUGUCUCCCUUCGGGGUGUCAUUUGGCUUCCGUUGUCCGAGUCUCCUGCGCACCGUUUUGGGGCGUGGGAGGCUUGGGCCGGCUUUGUAGGGCUGAGUUAAAACGGCUUGUCUGAUC